GGAGCAGCCAGUCUUUCAACCAGCAAAACGCUGCUGAUUCAUAGUAAAGUCUUAAGUCCGACUUUUCCCGCCUUUUCCCAACUUCCCGCCCUUCGAAAUCUCAGCCUCGCCUCAGUUUCAGGCGCCGAGGAGGCAGAUUCCCCGGGCCCCUGCUUUAUGAGUGGAUUUCUUCUCAUUCGCCCUGAUUUCUGCUCAUAUAUCUUGCUUUUGGAGCUUCUCUAGAAAGAAGGCUGUAUAUAAAGCCCCUCACCACCUCCUGCAUCCCAUACAGUAUGUCAAAGUCUGAUUUCUUCCCAUUUGCUGUGUAUAAUUCUUCCUCCAGGACUGUUCUUCCUUCCUGGCAAUGUCACUUCCAAACUCAUAAUUCUUCCCUCACUGUCCUUAAAUAGCUGCUUGGGGUCUAGUUUGGGGCCUGCAUAAAGAACCUCCUCUCUUUUCUCAUUUUAGCUGUAGGUAUAAAUUCAUGGCCAAAAGCCUUAUUGAUACACAAUCUUCCAUCCGAUGCCUGCUUACUCGGAAAACGAAGCUGGCACCAUCCAUCCAUUGGUUCUGGCAGGGUUCCAGUUCAUGGUCAACAAGAUUAAACAGAUGCACGUUGGGCUGAUGAGGAGGAGGUGAGGGACCAGGAGUGAGACCUUGGGGUCAUGUUAGGUAACUCUGGGAAAUUGUUGACCCUGUGUGCACUGGCUCGGGAAACUGCAAAUCUCACGCUGGGGAUGUUUAGGGAACCGAUUGAAAAUACACCUGCCACUAUCCUAAUGGUUGUAGUGCAGAUCUUGUUGGCAUGCAAAGGGUCGCAAGCCCAGCUGGCUAGUCCCAGGUGGGUCAUCUCCCUCCAGCCGUCCCGCUGCGAAGACCCAUCAGCCCCUGCUCCGAUGUAAAUCAGCGACCCAGGCUUCAAAGCCAGGGCACACUAUAUCAGCAGAGCGAACUGCAGACACAGAAUAGGCGUGAGGCUUGUGGAAGCAUACUACAACUACGGAUUUAUUAAUCAUAAAUCAGGAUAAAGAAACAUUUCGUCUCUCUCUUUGUAUUCUCAGAGAGACAGAGAAAAGCAAAAGCUAUACGCACAACGGAAGCAUACUGUGCUGGAAUGUAAACAGACAGGUGACACAUAACAAACCCAUAUCUGCUCCUUAAGGAGGAAUGGAAAUUCUCAACAGACCUAUGGUGUGAACACAUUUGGAGUACUGUGCACAGUUCAGUAUCUGGGACCUUUCAGUUUGGAGAGAAGACGAGGAAGGAAGGACAUGUCAGAUAGAAUGGAGAAAGAGGAUAGAGAAAAGCCCCCCCCCCAAUAAAACUAAAACUCAUGGAAUCCAGUGAAGCAUGAAGCAGGAAUGGUGGAAGAUUUAGGAGAGCGAAAAGAAGGGCCCCCCCCCCCUCUCUGCAUCCAGCCAGUCCAUGAUGGCAACAGCAACAAUAAGAUAAUUACAUCAAUAGUAUGCAUUGUGCUCUGCUGGCAGGAGGACUCCCUCGGAUCAUGUCCAGUUGCAAAAGUGCAAGGAGACUUUCCACCCUCAGGGCCCAGAGGGGGAUCGUGCCUUGGGGCAGCUGGUGGAAUUGGAGGAAGCUGACCCUUAGCACUCUGGGUUUGGGACCUACCGGAACCUCCUUCCACAUUAUACUCAUCCAUAUUGUUUCUCGUCUGCGUCAUUUUGGGGAUAGCAUUCUACACACACUUGCGUCACCAUGUGCCCCUCCCAACAUUGCUCUGAGAUGCUCUGGUACGGCCCCUUCUUCCCUGUGCCCCUUUCCCUCCUCAUGCAAAACGUGCAGCUGGGAACAGAGCCUUUCCUGGUUCUGCCAGGGAAUGCCCCUUUUAUUUCUCCUGCCACCAAAUAUAUCUAUACACAUUAUAUCUGACAUAAUGCAUCUAUAAAUCAAAAGAAUAGAUCAGGGUUUCAAGAUUACCUUCGGCAUAUAAGUAGGUGCUUUCAAUCUUUCUGUGUCUUCAUGGUUCCACUAUUGCAACUAUAACAAUGGGAGUUAUGCUGCUGUUCCUAUAAUAUUAGUCUAACUCUGCUUCCAAAGCAACACCACCAGUCUCAGCUCCACUUUGAGCAACUCUCCAUUCCCAGAUAUAAACAUUUCCAGCUCCCUCCACCAAACACCAACACCAGCUCACUCUCAGUCCACCCUCAUUCAGAAGCAACACUACAGAUUCACAUUAAAUAUUAUAUUAUGCUUACUAUUGUGAAAUUCUACCUUCAAUACUUUAAAUAAACGUCUAGACCACGUUACAAACAA
Non-coding RNA from Podarcis muralis (Common wall lizard), 2250 nucleotides. NCBI's taxonomy places the organism in Eukaryota, Metazoa, Chordata, Lepidosauria, Squamata, Lacertidae. The record is from RefSeq and is a predicted model, not a curated record.